RNAcentral lists this ribosomal RNA (424 nucleotides) under uncultured bacterium. Its description in RNAcentral is "partial 16S ribosomal RNA". It matches the Rfam family "Bacterial small subunit ribosomal RNA", at positions 354 to 796 of the family's 1533-position model. The record is from RNAcentral.
GUGGGGAAUCUUGCGCAAUGGGCGAAAGCCUGACGCAGCCAUGCCGCGUGAAUGAUGAAGGUCUUAGGAUUGUAAAAUUCUUUCACCGGGGACGAUAAUGACGGUACCCGGAGAAGAAGCCCCGGCUAACUUCGUGCCAGCAGCCGCGGUAAUACGAAGGGGGCUAGCGUUGCUCGGAAUUACUGGGCGUAAAGGGCGCGUAGGCGGACAGUUUAGUCAGAGGUGAAAGCCCAGGGCUCAACCUUGGAAUUGCCUUUGAUACUGGCUGUCUUGAGUACGGGAGAGGUGAGUGAACUCCGAGUGUAGAGGUGAAAUUCGUAGAUAUUCGGAAGAACACCAGUGGCGAAGGCGACUCACUGGCCCGUUACUGACGCUGAGGCGCGAAAGCGUGGGGAGCAAACAGGAUUAGAAACCCGUGUAGUCC